RNAcentral lists this ribosomal RNA (468 nucleotides) under uncultured bacterium. RNAcentral's name for it is "partial 16S ribosomal RNA". It matches the Rfam family "Bacterial small subunit ribosomal RNA", at positions 28 to 507 of the family's 1533-position model. The record is from RNAcentral.
GACGAACGCUGGCGGCGCGCCUAACACAUGCAAGUCGAACGGAGCUGAGAGAAGCUUGCUUUUCUUAGCUUAGUGGCGAACGGGUGAGUAACGCGUGAGUAACCUGCCCUGGAGUGGGGGACAACAGUUGGAAACGACUGCUAAUACCGCAUAAGCCCACGAUCCGGCAUCGGAUUGAGGGAAAAGGAUUUAUUCGCUUCAGGAUGGACUCGCGUCCAAUUAGCUAGUUGGUGAGGUAACGGCCCACCAAGGCGACGAUUGGUAGCCGGGCGGGGAGGUGGAACGGGCACGAUGGGGAUGAGACACGGCCCACAAUGCGACGGGAGGGAGGAGUGGGGGGUAUUGCACAAUGGGGGAAACCCUGAUGCAGCGACGCCGCGUGGAGGAAGAAGGUUGUCGGAUUGUAAACUCCUGUCGGUAGGGACGAGAAUGACGGUACCUAACAAGAAAGCACCGGCCAACUACGUG